RNAcentral lists this transfer RNA (70 nucleotides) under Platysternon megacephalum (big-headed turtle). RNAcentral's name for it is "tRNA-Pro". Lineage: Eukaryota; Metazoa; Chordata; Testudines; Platysternidae. The record is from RNAcentral.
UCAAAAGAGAAGGACUUAAACCUCCAUUCCCGGCCCCCAAAACCGAAAUCUUUUAUUAAACUAUCUUUUG